CCCCUGAUAGCUCAACGGUAGAGCGCGCGGCUGUAGACCGCGAGGUUCUGGGUUCAAAUCCCAGUCGGGGGA
Molecule: transfer RNA, 72 nt
Filed under: Candidatus Aenigmatarchaeota archaeon
Lineage: Archaea; Nanobdellati; Candidatus Aenigmatarchaeota
Description: tRNA-Tyr
Rfam family: tRNA
About the family: Transfer RNA (tRNA) molecules are approximately 80 nucleotides in length. Their secondary structure includes four short double-helical elements and three loops (D, anti-codon, and T loops).
Source: RNAcentral